RNAcentral lists this ribosomal RNA (253 nucleotides) under uncultured bacterium. Its description in RNAcentral is "partial 16S ribosomal RNA". It matches the Rfam family "Bacterial small subunit ribosomal RNA", at positions 524 to 776 of the family's 1533-position model. The record is from RNAcentral.
UACGUAGGGUGCAAGCGUUAAUCGGAAUUACUGGGCGUAAAGCGUGCGCAGGCGGCUUUGCAAGACAGAUGUGAAAUCCCCGGGCUUAACCUGGGAACUGCAUUUGUGACUGCAUGGCUGGAGUGCGGCAGAGGGGGAUGGAAUUCCGCGUGUAGCAGUGAAAUGCGUAGAUAUGCGGAGGAACACCGAUGGCGAAGGCAAUCCUCUGGGCCUGCACUGACGCUCAUGCACGGAAGCGUGGGGAGCAAACAGG